UGGGCUUAUCCUGACCCAUCCAGAUGAUC
RNAcentral lists this non-coding RNA (29 nucleotides) under Mus musculus (house mouse). The record is from RNAcentral. Lineage: Eukaryota; Metazoa; Chordata; Mammalia; Rodentia; Muridae.